Molecule: long non-coding RNA, 321 nt
Filed under: Citrus sinensis (sweet orange)
Lineage: Eukaryota; Viridiplantae; Streptophyta; Magnoliopsida; Sapindales; Rutaceae
Description: long non-coding RNA (CSIN_LNC002723)
Source: RNAcentral
GGCAGGCUUCCGGGAAGAACAGCGAACGAUGUGAAGAAUUUUUGGAACACGUACCUGCGCAAGAAAGUGGAUAAAUGCUGCAAGAAUAAUAAAGAGAUGAAAGCAAAAGCUGAGAAGGUGGAAAAGAUCAAUAUCAUAAAACCUCAACCUCGGACCUUCGCUAAAAACUCACAAUGGUUGAAGGGCAAGGGAAUGACUUCAAAUAAUUUGCAAUUAGGAGAUUACAAUCUCGGCAAACAAUCCACCCCGUCUGAUGAUGAUCAUCAUCAUCAACAGCAGCAGGAGAAUGAAACUGAAUCUGUAUGGUGGGAAAGCUUUUUA